This 468-nucleotide ribosomal RNA is filed under the name uncultured bacterium. Its description in RNAcentral is "partial 16S ribosomal RNA". It matches the Rfam family "Bacterial small subunit ribosomal RNA", at positions 28 to 507 of the family's 1533-position model. The record is from RNAcentral.
GACGAACGCUGGCGGCGUGCUUAACACAUGCAAGUCGAACGGAAAGGCCCUGCUUUUGUGGGGUGCUCGAGUGGCGAACGGGUGAGUAACACGUGAGUAACCUGCCCUUGACUUUGGGAUAACUUCAGGAAACUGGGGCUAAUACCGGAUAGGAGCUCCUGCUGCAUGGUGGGGGUUGGAAAGUUUCGGCGGUUGGGGAUGGACUCGCGGCUUAUCAGCUUGUUGGUGGGGUAGUGGCUUACCAAGGCUUUGACGGGUAGCCGGCCUGAGAGGGUGACCGGCCACAUUGGGACUGAGAUACGGCCCAGACUCCUACGGGAGGCAGCAGUGGGGAAUAGUGCACAAUGGGCGGAACCCUGAUGCAGCAACGCCGCGUGCGGGAUGACGGCCUUCGGGUUGUAAACCGCUUUCGCCUGUGACGAAGCGUGAGUGACGGUAAUGGGUAAAGAAGCACCGGCUAACUACGUG